RNAcentral lists this long non-coding RNA (1677 nucleotides) under Phoenix dactylifera (date palm). Its description in RNAcentral is "long non-coding RNA (PDAC_LNC003311)". Lineage: Eukaryota; Viridiplantae; Streptophyta; Magnoliopsida; Arecales; Arecaceae. The record is from RNAcentral.
ACAUUCCUUGUGGUUUGGGUGAUAACAAGGCUUGCAGGCCACCGGAGUUAAUUCCUAUGCAAUUAUGAAUGCAAUCAUUAGAAAGGUAGAUCUAUAAUAAUAGUAGAUUUUUACAUCCUGAAACUAUACAUCCCAGUUAGCCACACACACACACACACACACACACACAAACAGGCCUUGGACAUAUCAGCUUCAGACUAGGGCCCUCUUAUAUCCCUCCAAUAAAUUUUUUGCUUCAUAAAAAAAUGGGGAUAAAAUUUGAAAUUGAUAGUAAGGCCUCUAAAAACAGCAAUUGAAAUUGAAAGGGUCUCUUGGAAAAGUAAGCCAUGCUCAGCCGUAAUAAUUAUGUUGAGAAACUCCAGCAUAUUUAACUCAGAGAAAUAUUAAUGGUGCUGUGCUCAUGGAGACAGCUGAGAUCGAUAUAUGAGAUCAUGAUUUUUGGAAAUUGUUUGAGAGUUAGGAGGAAUGCUUUGUUGCUUAAAAGCUACUUGAUCCCUUGUUAAAAUUUACUGCAAUGCUACGACAGGGAGAAGGUGAACGAGAUAAACAUGAAUGCAGAAUAUAAAUAUAUGUGCCACUCGGCAAAUGAACAUGGAGAUUUAGCAGAAGAGAAGGAAAAUAGUCUCUAUUGCUGAGAACUACAGAAAGCUAUAUUUGUUGCUAACUGCGAAUAGUGCUGAAAAAGGCAGAAUUGGACACUCGACCAACAAGCAGUCAUAUUUUUGCCUUUGUAUAUGGAGAUAAUAAACAAUGGUAUCAACAAUAGCAAUAGUGAUGCCUAAUUAUCCUCCUAAGAUACAAUAGUAACAAUAACUACUGUAGAACUUAUUAUUUGUCUUUGUUGUUGUAGCUGUUGUUGCUGUUGUUUCUAUUGUUGCUGUUAUUAAAUUUCCAAGUUUGCCUUGAAAAAGUACUUUCUCAUUUAUGAUAGUAAAUACAUCAACCCAACUCUGUGUGCACAUACCAACGUAUCCUCGUUAACAACAUCAGCAACACGUCAAAUUUAAAUAUGCAGGACCAAUGAAAACAUGAGGGUAGGCAACAUCAAAAGCAUUAUUAUUAUUACUAUUAUUACCAUUAUUCCUUCUCAAUGAGAAGCAUGAUAUUAAGGAAUACAGUUAGUCAAAAUUCAGAUUAAUGGAGGACCUUAUGCGCAUGCCAAUCACAUCCCACAAGGUUUUUGCAGUUGUGCACUCCAACAAGAUAUGUUCCAAAGUCUCCUCAAUGGCACAAAGAUCACAGAUAAUUGGAAUGCCAUUGAGCAAUCCUCUCUGAGCAAGUAAAGUCUUACAGGGAAUUCUUUUCCAAAGAAAAAGGAGAACCCUUGGUGCAGCUGCUAUUCUCCAGAAGAGAAAAUAAUAAUUGGGUCAUAGAAUAGUCAAAGUCCUCCUGAUUUAAUAGCUUGCUGAUAUCCUUGUUUGCACUCUUGCAGAUCAAGUUCUAAACCAAGCAAAGCAGUCAGUAGAAACCAACUUUGGAAUCGCAAAAGACAGAAUUUCAUUAGUAAUCUCAGAUGGAAAUAAAUUCUGUAGUCAGUCCACAUUCCAAGAGCUAUCAUCAACAAGUAGAUGUGCAAGUCCCAUUUUUGCACUCAUAGCAUUCAUGUUCAUAGGGAUUGGACAUCUAUUUAAGGGAAUAUUAGAGAGCCAAGGAUCAGUAAGAAGGUUGAUUGUACUC